Pelobates cultripes (western spadefoot toad) is the source of this 1469-nucleotide non-coding RNA. The record is from the annotation of a GenBank genome assembly. NCBI's taxonomy places the organism in Eukaryota, Metazoa, Chordata, Amphibia, Anura, Pelobatidae.
GACAUACUUGUGUAUUAGGAACGAUAUAGGUGGGAACAGCAUUACGUAGAGCUUUGAAAGCAAGGACCAGAAUUUUUAAUUGAGCCUUAUAUCUUACAGGAAGCCAAUGUAGGGACUGACAAGGGUAAGGCGUGGGAGGUGCGGGCGGACAGGAAGAUGAGCCUCACCGCCGCAUUCAUUACGGACUGGAAUGGUGCAAGUUGGGAGCACGUAAGACCACUGAGAAGCGGAUUACAGUAGUCAAAACGAGAAAGGACAGUGGAACGGACCAGCACCUUAGUCGCAUCUGGCACUAAGUAGGGUCAGAUGGGCACAAUGUUUUUGAGAUGAAGCGGCAGGAUUUGGCAAUAGACUGAACGGGAGGUGUAACGGAGAGGUCGGAGUCAAAGAGAACACUUAGGCAGCAAGCCUGCGAGGUGGAGCUGAUGGUAGCACUGUUUACUUGGAGGGAGAGACAAGAGUAGCAACACUUGAGGGAGGAAAGACCAGAAUUUCAGUUUUGGUCAAGAUGAGUUUAAGUGGGCAGCCAUCCAGCCAGAAAUAGAGAGGCAGUCAGAGACACUAGUCAAGAGGGACUGGGAGAGAUCAGGAGAGGACAGGUAGAUGUGCGUCAUCCGCCUAGAAAUGAUAUUGGAAGCCAAUGGAACUAAUACGUUUACCAAGGUAGGCAGUAUAGAUUGAGAACAGUAGGACCAAGGACUGAACCUUGGGGGACACCAACAGAGGAGUUAGGGAGAAGUAGAGCCAGAGAGAAACACUGAAAGAGCACCAGGAGAGAGCAUUAUCUUGUAUACUGAUAUUGGAGGAUGAGAAGAAGCUGUUGAUGAUUAACAGUGUCAAAAGCUACAGAAAAAUCAAUGAGAAUUAGGCUAGAGUAGUGACCAUGAGAUUUUGCAGCGAGUAGAUAACUGGAUACUUUGGUCAGUGCCAUUUCUACAGAGUGCUUAGCGCAGAAACCAGACUGAAGCGGGUCUAGCAGAGAAUUGGACUUGAACUUGAAGUCUGUCAAUGUCACAUACACAACUCUUUCAAGGAUCUUAGAUGCAAAAGGCACUAGCGAUAUAGGACAGUAAGUUGGAGACAAAGAUGGACUUCUUUAGAAUAGGGGUUACAGUUGCAUGUUUGAAGGGCGAUGGAAAUAUGCCAGAGGAGAGAGAACGAUUGAGAAUUUUAGUGAGAGGUAAACAAAGAAGAACUUACAGAUGAGAUGCAAGGGAAUUGGAUCUAAGGAGCAGGAGGACUGGAGCAGAAAACUUCUGCUGUAACGGGUGUGAAUGAACAUGGAUCAUCAGGAGUGAGGUAAUGGGAAGUAUUGCAAGGAGAGAUUUCUUCCCUGAUUGUAAAGAUCUGGUCAGUGAAGUGAGUUGCAAAGUCUGAGUUGGUCUAGUUAGUAGGUGGAGGAGGAACAGGGCAAAGAAGUUAAAUGUGUGAAGUAGUUGUUUGGGUUCACAGGAGUGUGGUGUUAUGAG